Molecule: long non-coding RNA, 445 nt
Organism: Cannabis sativa
Lineage: Eukaryota; Viridiplantae; Streptophyta; Magnoliopsida; Rosales; Cannabaceae
Exons: 3
Source: RefSeq, a predicted model, not a curated record
AAUGAAUUAUUUUUCUGGUUUCAUCUCUCUCUCUCAUCCAAACCCUCUCUUUCCCUAAAGCCCAUUUGAUUUUCAAAGUUGAUUGUUGAGAAUUGCUUGAAGUUGGGUGUGAAUUGGAGCUUUGGAUUGUGGUUUCUUGAGCUUGAAGUUUAGGAUUACCGGCACCUGAUCAGGAGCACCCAGGGGUUUGGAAUCUCUGUUAUUGCGGGACAACAGGAAAAGGUAAGUCAGUGGCUGAUCAACCAUGAGUUUGAGGAGCAAAACGAAGAAUGUACAUGUUCAAGCCAUAUCAGACCAAGUGGGUUAAGGGUCUAUCAGUGUUGAACUUUUGAAUUCUGUUUUGCCGCUUAGGUCGGCUAGAAAGAAAAGACUUGUAAUAAGUUUGUAAUUAUUUUUGGGAUCCCAACUAUUUUGAAAGUUUAAAUAUAUUACAAGUUUAUUUUCA